This 397-nucleotide ribosomal RNA is filed under the name uncultured bacterium. RNAcentral's name for it is "partial 16S ribosomal RNA". It matches the Rfam family "Bacterial small subunit ribosomal RNA", at positions 523 to 918 of the family's 1533-position model. The record is from RNAcentral.
AUACGUAGGGGGCGAGCGUUGUCCGGAAUGAUUGGGCGUAAAGGGCGCGUAGGCGGCCCGGUAAGUCUGGAGUGAAAGUCCUGUUUUUAAGAUGGGAAUUGCUUUGGAUACUGUCGGGCUUGAGUGCAGGAGAGGUAAGUGGAAUUCCCAGUGUAGCGGUGAAAUGCGUAGAGAUUGGGAGGAACACCAGUGGCGAAGGCGACUUACUGGACUGUAACUGACGCUGAGGCGCGAAAGUGUGGGGAGCAAACAGGAUUAGAUACCAUGGUAGUCCACACUGUAAACGAUGAAUGCUAGGUGUAGGGGGUAUCGACCCCUUCUGUGCCGCAGUCAACACAAUAAGCAUUCCGCCUGGGGAGUACGGCCGCAAGGUUGAAACUCAAAUGAAUUGACGGGG